CUGUUUACCGUGGACUCCACUGUGUGGGGCUGGGCCAUGUGACAAGGAUGACAGUUGGAGUUAGAAUCAGUCAGGGAGAACCCAUCCCUGGGGACUGGGUGAGUUCAGUCAGAGAGGGCACAUCGUGCCUAAUUGGUAUCAGUGGGGCCUUUAAACUGUGGGUGGUCUCUGAAUCAGUCUGUAGACUCACAGCAGAUACACUUUGGGAAGGAGAAUCUAUUGUCCUCCCCUCACCCACCUUCCCUGCACACAUCCAAGGCCACUCCUGGACUCCUCCCAAACCAGCCUCAGCACCUGCCUUCAGGAGAUGCUCCAGCUUCAUUGAUUUUUUUUUUUUUUUGCUGGUGGAUACUGAGGAGAUGCAGGAGUAGGAAGAAGAAGAGAAGGAGGAGGAGAAUGAAUAUCAAGAUGGAGAGAAAGCCUCAUUUAGUUCUUCACUCACAAAUUCUGAGAAAUCAAAUGAACAAGCUCUCAGCUUCACUCCUUCCAGUAGAUAACACCCUUUCUUGUUUCAACCACCUCCUGCUUUUAGGUGUCAGAAGCUCUUGGUGAGAAGGGCUGCCUCACAUUCUCCUUCCCUCCUCAGCCCAGGUUUCCAUUUGGGGAGGUUGUCUUCAAACCAAGGAAGCUCCCCAGUUCACACCACUGUCUCCUCCAUAAUAAACCCACCCAAUCCUGUUAAAUAAUAUUUCUU
Molecule: long non-coding RNA, 694 nt
Filed under: Phascolarctos cinereus (koala)
Lineage: Eukaryota; Metazoa; Chordata; Mammalia; Diprotodontia; Phascolarctidae
Description: lncRNA (ENSPCIG00000031104.1)
Source: RNAcentral